This 451-nucleotide ribosomal RNA is filed under the name uncultured bacterium. RNAcentral describes it as "partial 16S ribosomal RNA". It matches the Rfam family "Bacterial small subunit ribosomal RNA", at positions 354 to 796 of the family's 1533-position model. The record is from RNAcentral.
GUGGGGAAUAUUGGACAAUGGGGGGAACCCUGAUCCAGCCAUGCCGCGUGUGUGAAGAAGGCCUUUUGGUUGUAAAGCACUUUAAGCGAGGAGGAGGCUACCGAGAUUAAUACUCUUGGAUAGUGGACGUUACUCGCAGAAUAAGCACCGGCUAACUCUGUGCCAGCAGCCGCGGUAAUACAGAGGGUGCAAGCGUUAAUCGGAUUUACUGGGCGUAAAGCGCGCGUAUGUGGCCAAUUAAGUCAAAUGUGAAAUCCCCGAGCUUAACUUGGGAAUUGCAUUCGAUACUGGUUGGCUAGAGUAUGGGAGAGGAUGGUAGAAUUCCAGGUGUAGCGGUGAAAUGCGUAGAGAUCUGGAGGAAUACCGAUGGCGAAGGCAGCCAUCUGGCCUAAUACUGACACUGAGGUGCGAAAGCAUGGGGAGCAAACAGGAUUAGAUACCCGUGUAGUCC